Molecule: ribosomal RNA, 438 nt
Filed under: Lythrypnus brasiliensis
Lineage: Eukaryota; Metazoa; Chordata; Actinopteri; Gobiiformes; Gobiidae
Description: partial 12S ribosomal RNA
Source: RNAcentral
GNCAGGCGUANCUUANCUAAUAAUUAAAUACCUUCUAUAACUCGCCAGGGAACAACGAACGUAGGUUUAUCACCCAAGAUAUACUAAGAUAAAUGUUUACAACCCAAAGGACUUGGCGGUGCUUUAUACCCCCCUAGAGGAGCCUGUUUUAGAAUCGAUACUCCCCGCUAAACCUCACCUUUCCUUGCUAUCCCCGCCUGUAUACCGCCGUCGUCAGUUUACCCUAUGAAGGAUUGAUAGUGAACAAAAUCGCAUUUUAACCAGCAUGGCAGGUCAAGGUGCAGCUUAUGGAAAGGGACUUAAUGGGCUACAUUUACUGAACCAGUAAAUUUACGGAAGUUUGUUAUGAAAAACCAACUGAAGGCGGAUUUAGUAGUAAGAAGAGAAUAGAGUGCUUUUCUGAACCCAAGGCCCUGAAGCGCGUACACACCGCCCGUC